This 468-nucleotide ribosomal RNA is filed under the name uncultured bacterium. RNAcentral's name for it is "partial 16S ribosomal RNA". It matches the Rfam family "Bacterial small subunit ribosomal RNA", at positions 28 to 507 of the family's 1533-position model. The record is from RNAcentral.
GACGAACGCUGGCGGCGUGCUUAACACAUGCAAGUCGAACGGAAAGGCCCUGCUUUUGUGGGGUGCUCGAGUGGCGAACGGGUGCGUAACACGUGAGUAACCUGCCCUUGACUUUGGGAUAACUUCAGGAAACUGGGGCUAAGACCGUAUCGGAGCCCCUGCAGCAUGGUGGGGGUUGGAAAGUUUCGGCGGGUGGGGAUGGACUCGCGGCUUAUCAGCUUGUUGGUUGGGUAGUGGCUUACCAAGGGUGUGACGGGUAGCCGGCAUGGGAGGGUGGCCGGCGACAUUGGGACUGAGGGACGGCCCAGACGCCUACGGGAGGCAGCGGUGGGGAAUAUUGCACAGUGGGCGGAAGCCUGAUGCAGCAACGCUGCGUGCGGGAUGACGGCCUGCUGGUUGUGAACCGCUUUCGCCUGUGACGAAGCGUGAGUGACGGUAAUGGGUAAAGAAGCACCGGCUAACUACGUG